UUGAGUUUCCAUUGCAAAAUUGGGUUCAUAUUGGAUGUGAGGUUUGCCCUAAUCACAUGAAACUACAGAUUAAUGGAGAGAUUGUUGGAGAAAAACCGCUGUCAUCAAAUAAGGAACCCAGUUCAAAUGAUUUGAGGAAAAUAGUUUUGGCAAAUAUUGGUGGAGAUGGAAAUAUUUCACACGGUUAUGUGUACAAUUUUCAAGUUUUCCCUUCUGUUUCAUCUAUUAAAGAUCACCAUAUGAAGGUGAUUGGG
This is a non-coding RNA of Arachis ipaensis, 254 nucleotides long. The record is from RefSeq and is a predicted model, not a curated record. Lineage: Eukaryota; Viridiplantae; Streptophyta; Magnoliopsida; Fabales; Fabaceae.